RNAcentral lists this ribosomal RNA (493 nucleotides) under uncultured bacterium. RNAcentral's name for it is "bacterial SSU rRNA". It matches the Rfam family "Bacterial small subunit ribosomal RNA", at positions 29 to 517 of the family's 1533-position model. The record is from RNAcentral.
AACGAACGCUGGCGGCGCGCUUAACACAUGCAAGUCGAACGAGAAGGCGUAGCAAUACGCUUGUAAAGUGGCGAACGGGUGAAGAAUACAUGGGUGACCUACCCUCGAGUGGGGAAUAACCCGCCGAAAGGCGGGCUAAUGCCGCGUACGCCUCCAUUCUCACGGGGAUGGAAGGAAAGCUGCACCGUGGGUGCGGCGCUCAAGGAUGGGCUCAUGUCCUAUCAGCUGUUGGCGGGGUAACGGCCCACCAAGGCUCCGACGGGUAGCUGGUCUGAGAGGACGAUCAGCCACACUGGCACUGCGACACGGGCCAGACUCCUACGGGAGGCAGCAGUGAGGAUAUUGCGCAAUGGGCACAGCCUGACGCAGCGACGCCGCGUGGGGGAUGAAGGUCUUCGGAUUGUAAACCCCCUUUCGGGAGGGAAGAUGGAACGGGCAACCGUUCGGACGGUACCUCCAGAAGCAGCCACGGCUAACUUCGUGCCAGCAGCCG